CAGAGAUAUGAACUUAGUGACCAGAUACCUGAGAGAGAAUGUCUAUAUCUAUCGCUUCAUUGAUCUCUUGUCUCCAGCUCUGAGGAGCCAAGCUACAAAGUACAUCUCUUGCUUCUCUCAUCAGAUCAACAACACGGCUGUAUCCAGGUUCAUCCUUUCUCAUGGAUUCCAUGACACUAUCCCAGAAAGCCUUCUCCAUUGUCUCUCUGACUUUGUCCUGUAAAGACAUCAGAGCAGAAGAAUCAACUAAAAUUUCUAAAGUCUCUUCUAGUUUCAGGAGCCUAACCAAACUGUGCUCCGGGUUCAGUAAAUCAAGAUGUAAGAAAUGCAUCUACCUCAAUACUACUAUAAUAUUUAUCAGCAACUUUUGGAGACUCAGCAAAUUCAAGAUGCUGCUUGUAACCAGGUUCAUCCUUUCUCAUGGAUUCCAUGACACUAUCCCAGAAAGCCUUCUCCAUUGUCUCUCUAACUUUGUCCUGUAAAGGUCAUCAGAGCAGAAGAAUCAACUAAAAUUUCAAAAGUCUCUUCUAGUUUCAGGAGCCUAACCAAACUGUGCUCCGGGUUCAGUAAAUCACGAUGUAAGAAAUGCACCUAC
RNAcentral lists this long non-coding RNA (595 nucleotides) under Nicotiana benthamiana. RNAcentral's name for it is "long non-coding RNA (NBEN_LNC038735)". Lineage: Eukaryota; Viridiplantae; Streptophyta; Magnoliopsida; Solanales; Solanaceae. The record is from RNAcentral.